GAUGAACGCUGGCGGCGUGCCUAAUACAUGCAAGUCGAGCGAAUGGAUUAAGAGCUUGCUCUUAUGAAGUUAGCGGCGGACGGGUGAGUAACACGUGGGUAACCUGCCCAUAAGACUGGGAUAACUCCGGGAAACCGGGGCUAAUACCGGAUAACAUUUUGAACCGCAUGGUUCAAAAUUGAAAGGCGGCUUCGGCUGUCACUUAUGGAUGGACCCGCGUCGCAUUAGCUAGUUGGUGAGGUAACGGGUCAGCAAGGCAACGAUGCGUAGCCGACCUGAGAGGGUGAUCGGCCACACUGGGACUGAGACACGGCCCAGACUCCUACGGGAGGCAGCAGUAGGGAAUCUUCCGCAAUGGACGAAAGUCUGACGGAGCAACGCCGCGUGAGUGAUGAAGGCUUUCGGGUCGUAAAACUCUGUUGUUAGGGAAGAACAAGUGCUAGUUGAAUAAGCUGGCACCUUGACGGUACCUAACCAGAAAGCCACGGCUAACUACGUGCCAGCCGCCGCCGUAA
Molecule: ribosomal RNA, 515 nt
Filed under: uncultured bacterium
Lineage: Bacteria
Description: partial 16S ribosomal RNA
Rfam family: Bacterial small subunit ribosomal RNA
Source: RNAcentral